UACGAAGGGGGCUAGCGUUGUUCGGAAUCACUGGGCGUAAAGCGCACGUAGGCGGACUCUUAAGUCGGAGGUGAAAUCCUGGAGCUCAACUCCAGAACUGCCUCCGAUACUGAGAGUCUUGAGUCCGGGAGAGGUGAGUGGAACUGCGAGUGUAGAGGUGAAAUUCGUAGAUAUUCGCAAGAACACCAGUGGCGAAGGCGGCUCACUGGCCCGGUACUGACGCUGAGGUGCGAAAGCGUGGGGAGCAAACAGG
Molecule: ribosomal RNA, 253 nt
Filed under: uncultured bacterium
Lineage: Bacteria
Description: partial 16S ribosomal RNA
Rfam family: Bacterial small subunit ribosomal RNA
Source: RNAcentral